UACGAGGGGUGCAAGCGUUAUUCGGAAUCAUUGGGCGUAAAGGGUGUGUAGACGGCACAUUAAGUCAACUGUUAAAUUCUCCGGCCUAACUGGAGACCAGCGGUAGAUACUGGUGAGCUUGAGGAUGGAAGAGAGAGGUGGAAUUCUCGGAGUAGCGGUAAAAUGCGUAGAUCUCGAGAGGAACACCAAUGGCGAAGGCAGCCUCUUGGUCCAUUCCUGACGUUGAAACACGAAAGCGUGGGGAGCAAACAGG
RNAcentral lists this unclassified non-coding RNA (253 nucleotides) under uncultured bacterium. Its description in RNAcentral is "contains 16S-23S intergenic spacer region". It matches the Rfam family "Bacterial small subunit ribosomal RNA", at positions 524 to 776 of the family's 1533-position model. The record is from RNAcentral.